This is a long non-coding RNA of Orcinus orca (killer whale), 1146 nucleotides long. RefSeq lists it as uncharacterized. NCBI's taxonomy places the organism in Eukaryota, Metazoa, Chordata, Mammalia, Artiodactyla, Delphinidae. The record is from RefSeq and is a predicted model, not a curated record. The transcript has 2 exons.
UUGAACCGAAAGCUCGCGGAGUCUUGAGCGGGGGCUGGGAUUCCGGGUACGGCGUGGUGAGGGCGCCCUAGGUUGGCUCAGGAGUAGGGAAUGGGUUUUUUUUCCUUAGCUGUCCAAGCUGCAACUGGCUUACAUGGUUUCACGGUUAAAGCAUCAUCCCAGGGAAGGUAUCGUAGGAGAAAAAAAACUAACUUGAGGUUCCUGAGGUGGAAAAAAUUGUGCCUCGGCCUUUGGGUCCGGAGAGUCGUGCCUCUUCCAUCCUUUACUUAAAUAACUAAACCAGAAUUGUUAUGUCUGGUUUAUGGAAAAAAGAAAAUUAAUCCCGUUUGUAGAGUCGAGACUUGUUUGAGGUCGCAGAGUCCUGGGGGAAAUGCCUGUCUCUGGCUUAAGAGGUAGGCAGGUGGGGUGAAAACGGAACCGCGCCGAGUGGCACACUUCCCGGUUUCCCGCAGUUUUCUGUUCCGCGUCCUUGCUGUAAGGAAAGAACCUAGAUGCUGAAGCCCGUGAAAUUUUGGUUCCAGACCCUAGAAUGCUGUGGCAGAGAGCUAGGGAGUGAGUCAUCAAAAGCCCAGGGAAGAGCCUAAGAGGGUUUUAGCUUAGUGCCUAUAACGUGAGGGCACGUCGGUAGGCACUUCAGGGUUAGUUAUGUAAAUUAUAUUGAUACAUGGCAAAUGAAAGCGAUGGGUUGGUACCCUUGGAGACCUCCAGGCUUGAUUUAACUGAUCUGAAAGGCUGUGUGGACAGAGUAAAUGAGGGCUCGAGGGACUGGGAGUUGUUCCUGCAGCCAACUGGUAAUUAAAGAACGGAAGUUUGGAUAGAGUAUAGAAUGGCAGCCGGAAAGUUUUCAUCAUCUUCCUCGGAACUAGAAGCUCUGGAGACCGAGGACUUACGGAUUCGAAAACCAAAAAUGAAGAGACCUCUUUGUCACGGAGUCCAGAUGUCUAAGAAGACAUAUGUAAUACGCUGAUGCUUCCUACCUGAGACUUCUGUCACCCAUUCCAUCUCUCAUGACUUACAAAAUAAGAUGGAUGAGAACAGUCACUUCAGAUCCCACCAUUUUUCCUUUGGAUCCCUGAGAAAUGGAGGCUUUUGUUUAUUUUAAAGUUUACCCGAAUGGAUAUGUUAAAAAACAUUUUGUAGAGUUCA